AACGCAUCUUGCGCUCCUUGGCAUUCCGAGGAGCACGCCUGUUUGAGUGUCAUUAAAUUCCUCAAACCCCCUCCAAUCUUGCCCCAUGGCCUGGAGUGGUUGGUUUGGAUCGUUGGAGGCUGCAGGCUCAUUUUGAAGGGCCUGCUCCUCUGAAAUGCAUUAGCAAUGGCCGCGGUGUUGUGCACCAGUCGUUGGCAUGGUAGAUUCUCUUAUUUUGUGCCAUUGGACAUGACAACCCCCUCCCGUGCUUUGAAUCUGAACGUCCAUUUUCUGGGCGUCCCUUGACCAUUUUGACCUCAAAUCAGGUGGGACUACCCGCUGAACUUAA
This 328-nucleotide unclassified non-coding RNA is filed under the name uncultured fungus. RNAcentral describes it as "partial contains 5.8S ribosomal RNA, internal transcribed spacer 2, and large subunit ribosomal RNA". The record is from RNAcentral. Lineage: Eukaryota; Fungi.